RNAcentral lists this ribosomal RNA (566 nucleotides) under uncultured bacterium. RNAcentral describes it as "bacterial SSU rRNA". It matches the Rfam family "Bacterial small subunit ribosomal RNA", at positions 335 to 919 of the family's 1533-position model. The record is from RNAcentral.
AUUCCUACGGGAGGCAGCAGUGGGGAAUCUUGGACAAUGGGCGCAAGCCUGAUCCAGCCAUGCCGCGUGAGUGAAGAAGGUCUUCGGAUUGUAAAGCUCUUUUGCCAGGGACGAUAAUGACGGUACCUGGAGAAUAAGCCCCGGCAAACUUCGUGCCAGCAGCCGCGGUAAUACGAAGGGGGCUAGCGUUGUUCGGAAUUACUGGGCGUAAAGCGCACGUAGGCGGGUCGUUAAGUCAGGGGUGAAAUCCCGGAGCUCAACUCCGGAACUGCCUUUGAUACUGGCGAUCUUGAGAUCGGAAGAGGUGAGUGGAAUUCCCAGUGUAGAGGUGAAAUUCGUAGAUAUUGGGAAGAACACCAGUGGCGAAGGCGGCUCACUGGUCCGAUACUGACGCUGAGGUGCGAAAGCGUGGGGAGCAAACAGGAUUAGAUACCUUGGUAGUCCACGCCGUAAACUAUGGAAGCUAGCCGUCAGUCAGCUUGCUGAGUGGUGGCGCAGCUAACGCAUUAAGCUUCCCGCCUGGGGAGUACGGUCGCAAGAUUAAAACUCAAAGGAAUUGACGGAAU